This is a long non-coding RNA of Rhagoletis pomonella (apple maggot), 580 nucleotides long. RefSeq lists it as uncharacterized. The record is from RefSeq and is a predicted model, not a curated record. Lineage: Eukaryota; Metazoa; Arthropoda; Insecta; Diptera; Tephritidae. The transcript is spliced from 2 exons.
AAGGUGUUGGAUAUUGACAGCGUUCUCGCUCUAAUCCGCCAUCUUGGCUCCCUUAGCUAUAUCAGUGUUUCCCUCUUGAAAAAACUACAUUUUAUCGCCUUUAAAAAAGUACUAAACUACCUCAUUCCCUAUUCCAAAACCGAUUUGCAAUCACUGAACAAUUCUUUGACAUUUACUCUAUUCUUAUCGUUGGCAACUGAAAAUUAAAUUAGAAAUUUCAACAUUAAUUCGGCAAAAAAAAACAUCGGUUUAGAGUUCUCCCCAAGGAUUUGUAGUUAUUUUGGUCGGUGCUUCCUUCCGCUGCAAUUCCGUCUGUGGUUCACUGCCACUGGCCUUGCUUUUUCAACGAUAUAACUGUUUUCUUGUGAUUUUUGCUGCUGCAAUCCCGUCUGUGGUUCACUGCCUCUGGCCCUGCUUUUCCAACGAUAUAACUGUUUUUUUGGUAACUUCUACCGCUAAGACUUUGUUGCUUUUUCCCUUUUCCCUAAAAACAUAAUAGUGCUACAAAGCUCAAUAACAAUAUGGAAACAAAUGUUAAUAAGCCACAAUAAUAUUGACAAUAAAUAAGAUUUCACUACGA